Molecule: ribosomal RNA, 170 nt
Filed under: uncultured bacterium
Lineage: Bacteria
Description: partial 16S ribosomal RNA
Rfam family: Bacterial small subunit ribosomal RNA
Source: RNAcentral
ACUCCUACGGGANGCANCAGUUAGGAAUCUUCCACAAUGGGCGAAAGCCUGAUGGAGCGACGCCGCGUGAGGGAUGAAGGCCUUAGGGUUGUAAACCUCUAAAAGAGGGACGAUAAUGACGGUACCUCUUGAAUAGCACCGGCUAACUCCGUGCCAGCAGCCGCGGUAAU